GCUGUGGUAGCGCAGUUGGUAGAGGAUUGGACUUGUAAUCCAAGGUAGCAUGUUUGGUACAUGCCCUUGCCA
This is a non-coding RNA of Potamilus streckersoni, 72 nucleotides long. The record is from the annotation of a GenBank genome assembly. NCBI's taxonomy places the organism in Eukaryota, Metazoa, Mollusca, Bivalvia, Unionida, Unionidae.